This is a non-coding RNA of Rattus norvegicus (Norway rat), 918 nucleotides long. The record is from RefSeq and is a predicted model, not a curated record. Lineage: Eukaryota; Metazoa; Chordata; Mammalia; Rodentia; Muridae.
GAUUUUUGGCAACAGAGGUGGCCCAAUUAUAGAAUGAGCAUAACAGUGUAAAUACUGUAUACAUACUUCAAUGACACACUCCCAAAUCCUUAUUUUAUCCAAAAAUUACCAGACAUCAAUAAAGGAAAGUACCACAUGGACUAUUUAAUUCGUUUCUCUAGUCCCACUUGAUAUCAGUUCCGCAAUAUCUACCUUCCUGUGUUUCAUUGCCAUACUUGAGGGUUUUGGAUAUUUUACCAUGAUUCAUUAUUAAAGUCAAACAUAAGAUAUAGGAGGAUGGAAAGCGAGAGGAAUGACUUGAGGACCAGUGAAGCCUCAAUAUAAGUAGUUUCAAAAGAACAGGAUGGAGUCUAAUUGGUGUUGCCAUUUGUUGAUUCUACAGUCUUGACCUAGAUGCGCAGAAUUCAUGUUAAAAUUCCAGCUAAAAUUAUAGCUGUAGGAGCCAACAAAAGUACAUAUAUAUACAUCAGCCACCGAAACUACACAAGAUUGAUGGAGAUUUUAAAAAAAGAUUACAAGAGCUGAAGGGCUUUAACACUACAAGAACAACAAUGCCAAUGAACCAGAGCUUUCUGAUACUAGAACAAUAUUCAAAGAAUGUACAUGGACAGAGCUAUGGCUCCAACUGCAUAUGUGGAAGAGAAUAGACUUGGUGGGCACCAAUGGAAGGAGAAGUCCUUGGUCCUCCCUAGGUUUGACUCCAAGUUCAAGGACCUUUUCUUCUUGCGAAAAAGUGUAAAGGUCAUGAGUUCUCAGGAAAACAACUGUGCCCUUCACAACACUUGGCUUUUGGAAUAAAGAAAUAAAUGAUAUAAACCCUUUGACUUCCAGGAACCAUAAGAACAGGGAAGUCUACAAGCUUCUAAGAGCCUCACAGUUCCUUAUUCCCUUAUAUAGAAGCUCAGAUCAAGGCUAUCU